RNA transcript from Columba livia (rock pigeon), 7688 nucleotides. It is a transcript of the gene named leucine rich repeat containing 38, with no coding region annotated. Lineage: Eukaryota; Metazoa; Chordata; Aves; Columbiformes; Columbidae. The record is from RefSeq and is a predicted model, not a curated record. The transcript is spliced from 5 exons.
CCCCCCGCCCGCCGACCCCCGGCUCCCCGCAGCCGCCUGCACCCCCAGUGCUGCCCCGAGAGCGCCUCGGCUCGUCCCACCUGCCGCAGCCGGGCUCCGCACCGCCGGGCUCCGCACCGCCGCCUCCAGCCACCACCCUCAUCCCAGACAAUGAGCUGUGGAGAAGAGCAGAACGGAUGACUUCCAUCUAAGACUGAACAGACGUGCUUCACUUGAACACUGCCCUCUCCAAAACCUGACAGCUGCUGAGGUCUUAAAUCCAUCAGGAAAGGAAAACUUGCCUCCUUUUUGCUCAACAUACACCAUUUGUCACCCUUUACCCUCUGCUCAGCCAGAUUGCGCAGCGGCACAUUCAGCCUCUGGACGCUUUGAUAAAGCGAUAAAGUCGGCGUUUGUUCUCUGUAGAGGGCUGAGAACCUGUGGAGUGCACGAUGGGGAAAAGGCCUUCUUAUAUGUAAGAUCAGAGAGAAAAUUGCCCAAAGGUGGGCAUUGGCUGCUCUCAUCAAAACACGCCUGGUCAUAGCAGGGGAAGAUGUUUCUCAAAAGAAAAAAGCACCAAAGCCAUAAUGGAGCAAGUCCCCUGACAUCUUUGCAGCCAGUCGUAUCAGUGAGAUCCAGUGCAUGUGUGCAGAAAAGUGUGCCAAGUCAGCGUUUUCAUCGCUUGUUGUCAGCUGCUGCCACAAAAACACUGCCUGUCUUCUUUAAUAAACUGGCAAAGCAGUGUUCAUGAAGGCGAGAGCAAAACUAAACCCAAAAGGGGCAGACUGUCUCGAUAACGUUUUAAAACCGUAUGGUCACAAUUGAGUGCCUUUCGAAACAACUUUUGGCAAGUCAGCGUAAAACUAAUUCUUCUGAUCAUGAUUUGAUUGCAUUUUACAUCUAUUUUCAGUUUUUGUUGAUGUUGCAGCUUUAUAGCCAUUAGGAACAAAUCACAUUAGCAUUACUUGUUUGGUUGUACUUGUCCAAAGCCACGUUCUCCUGACCUUUCCUGGGAGGGGUGGCAAGAGCUACCUGAAGGAUUCAGGUACACUGAAGGAUUCAGCGUCCAGACUCCCUGGCUUCCUCCUGGUGCUGUAAGGCUGGAGACAGAAGCGUACUUGCAGCAAACACAUCAAGAUAAAUAGGGCAGCAGGCAUUAUGUCUGGAAACGCUGCAAAAUAAAAAGAUAGGGGUACUUUUUCAGGGCCUAAGAAAAAAGGUUGGUUAUCUUGGCUGCACACUUUUCCUUUGUAAUUCUGCAGCAACUCGAGCAUUUGUGUCGCUUGACCUAUACAAAUAGGAAACAGCAGGAAGGAAAAAAAGUGUUGGCUGGUGUUUUUCCUCUCUUGGUUUUCCGUAAGAAUAAACUGUGAUGAGCAGUGCAGAACAGUUCCAUCACAGACUGAAGCUCCCCAGCCUUUAGACAGCAGACGUUGUAACCUGGUUUUACUGAGAGUGUGGAAGGGUGAAUGAUGACACCUUUGCAUCUGUGACCCCCAGUCCUUUCAUGAAAAGUACAAAACACUGCAAAGAAACCGAAGGCUCUGUACUCAUUGGUGUGUCUCAUGCUGGCUUGGGAUCCUUCAGAAUGGGUUGAGACAAGAAAGGAUGUGCCCAAGCAGAAAAGCAGCACAUUCCAACCAGUCUGUGGAUGAAUUCGGAUCCAGGGCUGCUGUUGGCGAGUGUCACCGGAGCCCAGCAGUCCCUGGGGACUCAGGAGUGGCAGCAAGAACUAGGAGACGAAUGGUUGGGGGAAAUACAUUAACAGAUACAUUUUUAGUUCUGGGCAUUCAUUUUGAUUCCUCACUUUGAACGACACUGAAAAUAGUUUAAUGUGUCCAGUCUGCAUGUCUGAGACAAACCACUCAAACUGUUCCCUAUUUACUAAGCCCAGCCACUGCUCUACCUUUUAAUUUUAGCACUGCAGUAAAACGGCACGUUAGUCAAAGCUUCUCUUGUUAUUUUGCAGGAGAAACACCAAGCUGAUUUAAAAAUUGGAGUUUUGUGAACUGAAAUCUCCGUGAUUGAUCCUGAAGCUCUUACCUCUGUGAUUAAGGCCUCAGAGGACGCGGUGAUCUGAACAAAAGCCAUACUCCAACUCAUUAGUUUGGCAAAGGCCAGGUCCCUUUUCUUUCUGGCAUCUUACCAGAAAUAGCUUGUAAAGUUCUAACUGAGCUGACCUGGCUGAGUCGCUGCCUGUAAAGGCUCUUCCCAGCUGAGCUGCCUUUGCACAUCUGACCUGUCGCUUCACACAAACAGCUGGGAUUUGAAUCACUUUACAGAUCCCGGCACUUAUUCAUCUCAUCUAAAUUUCUAAAUAAAGGCUUAAUUGGCAGUGAGUGAAUACUCUCACCUGCCAGAUUUGCAAGCGGACUCAUUAAACUGCGCUGAAAGUUUGGCAGUUAAAUUCAGCACUUUAAGAUGGCAAAUAGUGUUUUAUACUUGUAAAAAGAUAUUAAAACCAGCAUUUUCAUCAUAUUCCAAAACCAGAGCACAUUUUUUUUUUCUCUCUGAUUUGGUUAUUAGUUGAUUAAAAACAAAUUAGUGUAUGUGGUGCAAAAUAGACAAUGGAACUGUGAAGGUCAAUGGAACAGUGAUAUGCGGAGAAUAUAUAAUAGUGGGUUUUUUUCCCAGAGAAGACAAAGUGUUCACUAUGGGUAAAAAUGGUCAGGUCAUAAAACUUACAAAGGUUUUCUGUAGAAGGAUGUUUGAUUUUAUAGGUGUUUGAGAGUGUCUCAGCACGUCUCUCUUUUCUCUUCUGCCCUGUCAGUGUUUUAAAGCGGAUCUGAACUUAUGUCUGGAAGUACCAAGUGAUUGAACUUUCCCAUAGUAUUGCCUGUGCUUCUCAGUGUCUUGCAAGCUUAGAGAUGCUAUCUCACAGCAUUUUCUGUCAUCUGCAGUUAUUUUCAGCCAAAUAGCUCCAAAAUUACUAGCUCAUCCAUAUCUUCCAGACUUUCAGUUAAAUUUGACCUGGGAAAGCAAAGAGGGAAGGAGCAAAUAUUCAAGUGAUUGGUUUUCUCAGAGCUGUGACAUGGCCUAAGCAAGCCUGAAUGGCAGCGUGGUGUCCGAUGUUUCCUAUUAAAGGCUCCCCCUUAGGAGGGGCAUGGAGAUUAGCAACACGACUGGUGAAGGGACUUGAACAUAAGACCUAUGAGGAGAGGCUGAGGGAGCUGGGGUUGUUUAGUCUGGAGAAGAGGAGGCUUAGAGGUGACCUCAUCACUCUCUAGAACUACCUGAAGGAAAGUUAUAGCCAGGUGGGGAUUGGUCUCUUCUCCCAGGCAUCAGCAAUAGGACAAGGGGGCAUGGGCUUAAACUCUGCCAGGGGAAAUUUAGGCUGGAUAUUAGAAAGAAAUUCUUUACAGAGAGAGUGGUCAGGCAUUGGAAUGGCUGCCCAGGGAGGUGCUGGACUCGCCGUCCCUAGAGGUUUUUAAACUGAGAUUGGACAUGGCACUUAGUGCCAUGAUCUAGUAAACGGACUGGAGUUGGACCAAGGGUUGGACUGGAUGAUCUCUGAGGUCUUUUCCAACCCAGUCCAUUCUGUGAUUCUGUGUGAUUCUGAGAUGGAGAAUAUUGGAUAAUUUUUUUGAGAUGAGUCACUUUUGAGAUUUCUUGUGUUUUCUGCUUCAAUGGGAGCUGAAAGUCACUCAGUACUUUCUCAUGUUUGGAAGGGCUUCCUUCUGCUUUAAGAGCUGCUGUAUCACAUUUUACCUUGCCUAAAAAUCUUCACUGAAUACUGUUUGAAACGUCAGGGCUCGUCCAGCCAAAGGUGCUCGCUGCUGCAGUUGAUCUACAGCACUAAGGUCAGCUAAAAUUUGUGUGACAAAAAGAAAUAAAAGCAGCCCGCAGUGGCCCCAUUGACGUGCUCUGUAGAGAUCGCGGUUGCUGAUUUUUACUCUCGGUGAACACGCUUUGGGCAGCUGUGCCCAUGACCUUGUUUGCUAAUGACUAAUGCAUUUUUAACAUUACUUUCAAUUAGAGUGUAAGUAUUCCGGGGAGUGUGGCUGGGGUGUCUCCUUUCUGUCAUCUUGCCCUCGUUUUGCUUUUUAUGGUUUUUCUCCUCAGUAUCUUUGGAAAAACUUCUUCAAGAACUUGUGUAGAGUUUGACAUUGCAAGAAAUAGUUGAUGUCUCUGCUUUUCACACUAGAUGUAAUAGUGUUUUUCUCAGCCUUUUGUGUUUAAUACAGACUGGUUAAGUUCCCCACUAUACAUUGCAAGAAUAAAAUAAUUUGCUGCCCUCUAUUAAAACAGUAUUAGAAAGACUUUUAGCAAUUUGAUGAAAAGGUUUAGACUGAGCAAUUUUGUGAGUAGCCUGUAUACACUGAUAUGUCCAGAAAGACUUGAAAAAUUCACUCAGAUUUGGCCAGCGACAGAGUUCCCAACAGAUUUGUGCUGCCUGUGUGGUACAUAAAGGAAAGAGACAUUCGGAAUGGCUGGAAUUAAAGUGGCACAAGCUGAAGCGAGGGUCAGUGCUCAGGGUCUUUGUGUUGUCCUCCUGAAUGCCGACGUUUCAGUUCACACCACUAGAAGCAGAACUGGUAAAAGAAGCUCGAAGACGGCAAAACUGCGUCCGCUUGCAGAGCUGUAUCCCAAGUGAAGCUAAUUGCUGAACUUUACCAGGAAAAAGUUCAUUAGUGGCAGCAAAUCCCAUGUCGCAACACAAAGGCUGUAGCGAGGACCACGUUUUCCUUUUCUUUUGGUCAAAUGUUGCUCCGCUUUGGAAAGUUGUGUGCACAAGACUAUAAAUUUUUAAGAUGCUCAAAAGGGUUUUUGUGUUUGUACUGAUAGAGAUGCUCUUUGGCUACUUGCAAGACUUGUGUAGCUGGUGCCUCCUUGGUACGGUUGGGUAGGCAAAUGCUGGGAAAGUGGCACAUUUCCAGGUAAAGAGUGUCUAUGGCAAAGGAGAGAAGGAUGGUGGUGAGAGGAGGCAGGAAAAAUGCAAGAGCAGGUGCCAAUGAGACUGUAGCAGCUUUCUGGAACAGGAAACUCGGGCUGAAUUCGGUACUAAAAGCACAGUUGUGAGAUUCAGAAGUCAAUCAGUGUAGCAAGAAGAGUGGAAUUCUUUUUGUACGCUUGUUUAGAAAGACUGUGCCGUGCGUUGAUCAUCUCUUGCUUCUCGGGCUCUUUCUAUAAUCCCAUUCCAAUCUAAGAACUAUCACUAAACUUGUCCUGUAAAUAAAAGAACAUCUUACUGCACUAGUCCGCUGGGCUCCCUGAAAAUGUUCAACAUUGUCUUCAGAACAAAGCGUCGUAAUUACGUGAGAAUACAGGUGUCAUUCGACCUUCUAAGAACAACUGAGCACUUUGUAGCUCCUCUUAUUAUUCUUUAUCAGUACCUGUUUGUUCAUCAGCUAUGGAGAGAAGGCUGCUGUACCUUCACAUGCUAAUGUAGAAGCAGAGGGAGCUUCAGCUCGGAAGGACAAGCUGUUCUGGCCAUUACAGCCACCCGGUUCUUCCCCGAGCAUCCUGCACAUGCUGGCACAUCACUGGUACAGAACAUUAUAUCUGCUUUUUGGAAAGGAAUUAAAAGCCUUAAGACAUUUCACACGUUUUGCAGCUUUUAUUCUGUUCAAGCAGAAACUCCUAACAGAAAUUAGAUGCCCUAACAAGCGCAUCGAAUCUGUUUCUAUAUAUAUAUACACAUAUAUAAAUACAUAAUUUGAUAUCCUAGUCAUUUUCAGUAAAAUGAUCUGACUGCCACUGGCCUUUCACUCUCUUUCUUCCAUCUUAAGGUUUUUUGGAGCACUUCCAUCUCUGACGGAUUUGAAGGUGUGAGGACAGAAUUUGCAGAUAUGAACACCUAAUGUUAAACUUUAUAUUUAGGCAUUGAGACAAGCUGUUAAUUACCCUCUGGUGUGGAUCUGUAAGACUCUAGGGCACUUGACCAUAAGUUUUAUUGAGGGACCUAAAUCUUUUAAAGUCUUUUAAAGUCUUAAAACCUUUAAAGUUUUUUUAAAGUCUUAUUGUUCUCAUAGCUUGAGACUAUUUCCAGUGACAUUUUAUCUCUCUUCAGAGGCAACGCCUCUCUCACUUCUGAUUAAUACAUCCAGUACAUUAGUGACAGUGUUUAAAUAGACUAAAGAGAACUAUAGCUGGAGGUAAAAUACUGUGCAAGAAAUAAAAUGCCACAUUUAAACAUUUCCAAGCUGUGUCAACUACAUUCAGCAACCUGAGAGAACAGCUAAAUUCCACCCUCUGCCUCCUCUUCUUUUUUUCUUUCUUGUAACUUUGCGUUCAAAAUUAUAGCAGGGAAAUCUGGCUCUGAGGUUUAACAGACCAUAAUAUUGAGGUAAUGAUGAAUCUCAGAGGUUCUGCAGUAAAAGCUGUAGUUAGCAGAGAAAUCAGAAUGACAGAAACACACAAGGAGUCACAGAAUCCCAGAGUGUCAGGGGUUGAAGGGCCCUGGAAAGCUCAUCCAGUGCAAUCCCCCCAUGGAGCAGGAACACCCAGAUGAGGUUACACAGGAAGGUGUCCAGGCGGGUUGGAAUGUCUGCACAGAAGGAGACUCCACAACCCCCUGGGCAGCCUGGGCCAGGCUCUGCCACCCUCAUCAGGAACAAGUUUCUUCUCAUAUUUAAGUGGAACCUUUUGUGUUCCAGUUUGAACCCAUUACCCCUUGUCCUAUCACUGGUUGUCACCAAGAAGAGCCUGGCUCCAUCCUCAUGACCCCAGUACUGCCCCCUGAGGCACUGCACUAGAUCCAGGCCUCAACUGGACUCUGCUCCAUUGACCACGACUCUCUGGCUUCUUCCCUUCAGCCAGUUCGCAGUCCACGCGUUAAGAGUCAGGCCUAUAUAGAAUCUAGCACCUGUCCCUUGGCUGGAACUUCAAAGUUUUCCCUUUUUAAAAGCAAACACCACACUAGUUUGCCACUCUGGUACAUCUGCUUCUUCAGAUGAUGUAGCAGCAAGAUACAGAGCGGGUGACAUUGUCCUUGGGACAGCUGGAGUUCUUACAGAUUAUGUGCUGGCCCUGACUAAAAUAACAUAAGCUAUGUAUUUAUAACGCACUCACACAUGUUAUUUCAUUUACAGAUUUGUUUGGUAUGAAGAAACAACUCUUUGAACAUGCUGUGGGAGCAAUGAGAUAUAUAUAUAACUAUCAUCAAAGGUUUUCUUGCUGCAGCCAAGCACUAAUCUUCUUCGAGAUACCCAUUACGAGAAGCCUGGCUGGUUUUUUUUAAAGAGUAAAUUCAACAGGUUCUACAGAAUUAAAUAAACAAAAUUACUAAUAGGAAUACUAGUCAAGUGGUUAAACCUAAGCUGUUGUUUAGACCAGAAGAAAAAGACAAAAGUAGUUUUGGAACUACAUGGAAAAAAAGUAGUAUAGAAGGUGCCAAGGUGUGGAAGGAGCUUCAGUCUCCCUGUUACCCUGUUCUGGAGUCAGGAUUUGAGGUCAGAAGUAGCUGGGAAGUGCUUCCAUGUCUCCAGAUUUAGAUGCAUCCAGGGUUUAGCAUUCACUUCCUUAAAUCCUCAAAAUCCUGGUCCCAGAUCGUACCUGAGCUCCGGGAGGACUGAAAGUGAAAGAAUUUCAUUUCGAGGAUCCACUCAAGGGGGUUACGUAAAGGCAGAUUUUGUUCCAUUUUUUUCCUGAGUUUUGUACCAAUUGAUAAACCAAGAAUUAACCCUAAAACUUUUCGUCAGCCAUUCAGUCUCUGACUGGAGCUGAAGGAUUCAUCAAUAUUCCGCUGAUCUGUUUCCCUUUCCUCUUCU